Molecule: unclassified non-coding RNA, 217 nt
Filed under: uncultured Tomentella
Lineage: Eukaryota; Fungi; Basidiomycota; Agaricomycetes; Thelephorales; Thelephoraceae
Description: sequence contains ITS2
Source: RNAcentral
AUACCUCAACCCUCAUGGCCUGCCAUGAUGGGCUUGGACUUUGGGGGUCUUGUUGGCCUGUGAGCCAGCUCCCCUUAAAUGAAUUAGCUUGCCGGUGUUUGGUGGCGUCACAGGUGUGAUAACUAUCUACGCUUGUGGUUUCCCACCAGGUAACCUUCAGCAAUGGAGGUUCACUGAAGCUCAUAAACGUCCUCCCCAGAGAGGACAGAUUUUGACU